CACCGCGGUUAUACGAGAGGCCCAAGUUGAUAAACGCCGGCGUAAAACGUGGUUCGUGCACUACGAUACUAAAGCUUAACAUCUUCAACGCUGUUAUACGCAUUCGAAGCCAGGAAGCCCUCCAACGAAAGUAGCUUUACAUGACACUACUCCACGAAAGCUAGGAAA
RNAcentral lists this ribosomal RNA (168 nucleotides) under Leucopsarion petersii. Its description in RNAcentral is "partial 12S rRNA". Lineage: Eukaryota; Metazoa; Chordata; Actinopteri; Gobiiformes; Gobiidae. The record is from RNAcentral.